RNAcentral lists this long non-coding RNA (208 nucleotides) under Panax ginseng (ginseng). RNAcentral describes it as "long non-coding RNA (PGIN_LNC007882)". The record is from RNAcentral. Lineage: Eukaryota; Viridiplantae; Streptophyta; Magnoliopsida; Apiales; Araliaceae.
GAAAAUUUAUAAGAGGGACUGAUAUUUAAAAAAUUAUAAGCCGAAUUUUUUUUUAAUAACUAAACAGCUCACAAUUAAAAUUAGGAUUCCAAAUUUGCCUAGGCUACACUUGCAACGUCGCAGUUUUUUUUAGUGGAUCACUUAAAUUUGAACUAGAACAAAAUUUGAGUUUAAGAGCUCAAAUUUGUAGGGAAAAACAAUGUUGGAG